RNAcentral lists this ribosomal RNA (492 nucleotides) under uncultured bacterium. RNAcentral's name for it is "partial 16S ribosomal RNA". It matches the Rfam family "Bacterial small subunit ribosomal RNA", at positions 28 to 507 of the family's 1533-position model. The record is from RNAcentral.
GAUGAACGCUAGCUACAGGCUUAACACAUGCAAGUCGAGGGGAAACGACAUCGAAAGCUUGCUUUUGAUGGGCGUCGACCGGCGCACGGGGGAGUAACGCGUAUCCAACCUGCCCACCACUUGGGGAUAACCUUGCGAAAGUAAGACUAAUACCCAAUGAUAUCUCUAGAAGACAUCUGAAAGAGAUUAAAGAUUUAUCGGUGAUGGAUGGGGAUGCGUCUGAUUAGCUUGUUGGCGGGGUAACGGCCGACCAAGGCAACGAUCAGUAGGGGUUCUGAGAGGAAGGUCCCCCACAUUGGAACGGAGACACGGGCAAAAAUCCUACGGGAGGAAGCAGUGAGGAAGAUUGGUCAAUGGACGAGAGUCUAAACCAGCCAAGUAGCGUGCAGGAAGCCGGCUGUAUGGGUUGUAAACUGCUUUUAUAAGGGAAUAAAGUGAGUCUCGUGAGACUUUUUGCAGGUACCUUAUGAAUAAGGACCGGCUAAUUCCGUG